RNAcentral lists this ribosomal RNA (492 nucleotides) under uncultured bacterium. RNAcentral describes it as "partial 16S ribosomal RNA". It matches the Rfam family "Bacterial small subunit ribosomal RNA", at positions 30 to 507 of the family's 1533-position model. The record is from RNAcentral.
AUUGAACGCUGGCGGCAUGCUUUACACAUGCAAGUCGAACGGUAACAGGCCUUCGGGUGCUGCCGAGUGGCGCACGGGUGAGUAAUGCAUCGGAACGUACCCAGAGGUGGGGGAUAGCGCAGCGUAAGCUGUGCUAAUACCGCAUGUGAUCUGAGCAUGAAAGCGGGGGACCGCGCAGCAAUGUUUGGCCUCGCGCCUUUGGAGCGUCCGAUUUUGGAUUAGCUAGUUGGUCGGGCAAAGGCCUCCCCAGGCAACGAUCCGUAGCUGGUCAUGGUGGACGGCCGACUGCACUAGGACUUGAACACGGCCCAGAGUCCUACGAGAGGCAGCAUUGGGGAAUUUGAGACAAAGGGCGCAAGCCUGAUCCAGCAAGGCCGCGUGCGGGAAGGCGGUCUACGGGCUGGAAACCGGUUUUUGCAGGAAAGAAACGGUGUCAGCUAUUGCCAGGCGAUAAUGAUGGUACCUGCAGAAUAAGCAACGGCUAACUACGGG